This 468-nucleotide ribosomal RNA is filed under the name uncultured bacterium. Its description in RNAcentral is "partial 16S ribosomal RNA". It matches the Rfam family "Bacterial small subunit ribosomal RNA", at positions 28 to 507 of the family's 1533-position model. The record is from RNAcentral.
GACGAACGCUGGCGGCGUGCUUAACACAUGCAAGUCGAACGGAAAGGCCCUGCUUUUGUGGGGUGCUCGAGUGGCGAACGGGUGAGUAACACGCGAGUAACCUGCCCUUGACUUUGGGAUAACUUCAGGAAACUGGGGCUCAUACCGGAUAUGAGCUCCUGCUGCAUGGUGGGGGUUGGAAAGUUUCGGCGGUUGGGGAUGGACUCGCGGCUUAUCAGCUUGUUGGUGGAGUAGUUGCUUACCAAGGCUUUGACGGGUAGCCGGCCUGAGAGGGUUAACGGCGACAUUGGGACUGAGAGACGGCCCAGACUCCUACGGGAGGCAGCAGUGGGGAACAUUGCGCAAUGGGCGGAAGCCUGAUGCAGCAACGCCGCGUGCGGGAUGACGGCCUUCGGGUUGUAAACCGCUUUCGCCUGUGACGAAGCGUGAGUGACGGUAAUGGGUAAAGAAGCACCGGCUAACUACGUG